This 71-nucleotide transfer RNA is filed under the name Deronectes hispanicus. Its description in RNAcentral is "tRNA-Val". Lineage: Eukaryota; Metazoa; Arthropoda; Insecta; Coleoptera; Dytiscidae. The record is from RNAcentral.
CAAGUUUAAGCUUUAUUAGUAAAGCAUUUUAUUUACAUUAAAAAGUAGUCGUGCAAUUCGAUAUAAUUUGA